RNAcentral lists this non-coding RNA (25 nucleotides) under Callorhinchus milii (elephant shark). Lineage: Eukaryota; Metazoa; Chordata; Chondrichthyes; Chimaeriformes; Callorhinchidae. RNAcentral also lists the same sequence under 17 other names. The record is from RNAcentral.
UAGUGCAAUAUUGCUUAUAGGGUUU